Long non-coding RNA from Vigna radiata var. radiata (mung bean), 2842 nucleotides. RefSeq lists it as uncharacterized. NCBI's taxonomy places the organism in Eukaryota, Viridiplantae, Streptophyta, Magnoliopsida, Fabales, Fabaceae. The transcript has 2 exons. The record is from RefSeq and is a predicted model, not a curated record.
ACUUUUUCCAACACAUGUUAAAUUCAUUGUUCAUGGCUUUUCUGGAUGCUACUCACGGAAACCAUACUUGCUGCCACGUGCCCUCUGAUCCGUGAAUGAUGGUAGCAUAGGUCACCGUUCAGAUUUACUUGCACAGAAGAGAUAGCUUAUAAAUCUCUUCUUCUAUCUCCAUGUAAUUCACUUUUGGAAUAUAUGAGAAUUUCUNCUGAUGCANUUCCAGCUAUUUUCUCNGCACCGAAAGUCACUCCACCAUGAGCUUCCCCUUUCUCUCCUCUAGCUUCCUUCCAGGGAUGGAAGGCGGUCUGAGCUAGAUAUCACAUCCACCGAAAGCUCUUCCUCCACCUAAAUCAACCACUAGAUCCACUGAACCACGUUUCUUNCGCUGCUAGUUGCAUUUAGUGAGCAUACUUCACCUCUACUCAUGGAUUCAUCACCCAUUCGGCUGCUUCAAUAUCUCCCAUGGCUGGAACGUACUCUAUCAGGUGGUAUUCAGAGCCUAGGUUGCUCACGGUGCUCUCUGGUUGUUCCAGCUAAGUGUCUCUUUUCAUUCCAUUUUGUCAAAUUUUNUUUCUGCGUGUUUCUUGAUUCUGGUUAUUGUUCCAUUCAAUUUUUCGUGUUAUAGGUUCUGUUGCGUCUUUUGUUUGUGUGCCAGCUUUUAUUUGUUUUUGAUUCAUCAUUUUAUUCGGCCAGAUCUUUGAGUUUGAGUCUUUUAUUUUCAAAUCCUGUUCGGUUUGUCUAAGUCAUGUUACUGNUUUAAUUUUGUCAAAUUCUGAAGUUGGAUCUCUGCCUGGAUAAAUCUGUGUUACUUGAAUGGUUAUUNAAGAGCUGCACAUUAUAAGAGCAAUGAUUCNAAAGAGCUCAAGUGUAGCCUGAGUCCAUCAAAGUGCAGUACCGAUUAAUGCAGAAGUGGAAUCUGUUUCAAAAUCUGGUUUCAGUUUCAUUUAAUUUGUACCGUGUGGAAAAUCGAAUUCUGGAUGUGUUGAAUUGUUGCGAUAGUGUGAUAGGCAUGCCAUAUGAAUAGUGAUUUGUCUAAGACAAUCAUUCAUGAUGCACCACACUGCAGAUACAAAAUUCACUAAUUCAAGCAGACAGAGCCGAGCUGCAAUUUCUUUGUGUGUCUUUUGUCUAUGAUUUUGCAAUUUUUAAAUCUGUCCAGCUUAGACUUCGUAUCUGGACCUCUUUAAAACCAAUUCUGGAGUCUUUUUCAAGUUUAAAUUGCUGUCCUAGAGUCACAAAAAUUGUUUCCAGUUCAAUUUGAAUCCUCUGUUGAAUUUUGGUUGGUGAUUUGGCUUAAUUUUGGUGCUUAAGAGCAACUAAACUAGUGAAAAUCUGAGUUACAAGUUUGUAGCCUCUGCUGGCUGUUGAAACAAGUCAUAAUUGGUAAAAUAAAGUUGCUCAAAUCAUAAAAUUGAGUGUUCAAACUGGUUUGUGUAAAUUUGCCAUUUCAACCACCAAACUUCAACAUGUUCUUUGGGUUAAGUUGCAGAAAAUUCUGUAUAACUGUGUGGCUGUGUUAAUGCAUCGAAUUUCAUCAAUAAUUGGUAGCAAAAGCUUGGUUCAGUUGAGUUAAAAGAAGUGCACAUUUCGAAUUCUGUUAAGAAUUGCACUGUAAAAAGCUAGUAGAACCAGUACGGCAUACAUACUGUCAAAUUCUGAUGCACAUUUUCAGCUACUCUCUUAGGCAUUUUGUCAAACACUUUUGCCUAGUUUAAAACUGGUUUCGAUUUUGCAAAAGCUGCAACUUAUAAUUGUUUCUUGCUUUCUUAAUCCACUCUAGAGCCUUUCCUAAGAUCAUUUUGAGUGCCACCCGUUAUUGCUAGCCUUUAAUUGCUUGAGUUUUAUCUGUUUGAAAAUUCUGCACAUAAAUUGUUUGAUAAAAUCACAGUUGUGCAUUCUGGGUUUGCAAUUUUCUGGCAGCAGCAAAGUUGUUUUCUGCUCUUGAAAUUGAUUGAUGGUGGUUCCUUUGAGCUCUUUGUUGGGUGCAGAAUCAUCUCAGGUGGUACUACAUCACUGGUAGCCUCCUAGGAAGUGGAGAGUAAGUGGAAAACUCAAGUUUGGAAGCUGAUUUCGGUGCAGCAGGGUUCCUUAUCUUGGACUGCAAUUUUUGCUUGCUGUCAUAGCAUAAGUCUUCACACCAGCAGCUAUGAGAUUAGUGUGAAUCACUCCAGAUUCAUUUCCUUGAGAUGAACAUUGAACUACAAAAGGCACAAACACCCNNCANCUGAGAGUUUUGAAUUUACUGCAUAUUAGCAGUCCUUUCUUUAUUGAGAAUCCAGAGCUGCAAUGUCCAAAGCCUUUUCUUCUGAUUUGUUUUCCAGAUUUAAUUUGGCUUGACCAAGGGGUAGCAAGUUGUGACUGUUGAAUCAAUGCUCAUCUGCCGCAGUUGAAACUGGAUGAACACCAUCUUUGAUUAUCAACAUUGUCCAAGAAUCAGUGACUGUUUGACCAAAGUGGUUUAAACCACAAGCUGCAUUACUUCGAUUUUGCAGAGAAUAUUGUUAUGGACAAAUUGAAAGUAAUGCAAUCUUGUCAAGUAUAGUUAAAAUUUGGUUUGAUUAGAAUUGAAAAGGCUUGAACAACAGAUUGCAAUUUGAGAAGCAAAUUGGAUCCAUCUUCCACAACAAUUACAGUCAAACCGAGAAAGGAAGAGUGGAAUCCAAAAGCUAGGAGAUUCCAAAGUUGUCCAAAGCUGUCCAACAAUUGGAUUUAAAUGAAAUCAGAACGUGACAGUAGCAAUUGUUAGCUUUCUUUUGUAAUUGUUUUGUUCAUUUUGGUUAGGUUUUCUGUGUUAGAUUUCUUUAAAGUGUAAAAGGCCAUUCCAAGUCCAAGUGUUUUUGGAAGA